This 401-nucleotide ribosomal RNA is filed under the name uncultured bacterium. RNAcentral describes it as "partial 16S ribosomal RNA". It matches the Rfam family "Bacterial small subunit ribosomal RNA", at positions 355 to 773 of the family's 1533-position model. The record is from RNAcentral.
UGGGGAAUAUUGGACAAUGGGGGCAACCCUGAUCCAGCCAUGCCGCGUGAGUGAUGAAGGCCUUCGGGUUGUAAAGCUCUUUUGGCGGGGACGAUGAUGACGGUGCCCGCAGAAUAAGCCCCGGCUAACUUCGUGCCAGCAGCCGCGGUAAGACGAAGGGGGCUAGCGUUGUUCGGAAUUACUGGGCGUAAAGCGAGUGUAGGCGGUUGCCGUAGUCAGGUGUGAAAGCCUUGAGCUCAACUCAAGAAAUGCACUUGAUACUGGGUGACUAGAGGACCGGAGAGGAUAGUGGAAUUCCCAGUGUAGUGGUGAAAUACGUAGAGAUUGGGAAGAACACCAGUGGCGAAGGCGGCUAUCUGGACGGUUACUGACGCUAAGACUCGAAAGCGUGGGGAGCAAAC